RNAcentral lists this ribosomal RNA (301 nucleotides) under uncultured bacterium. Its description in RNAcentral is "partial 16S ribosomal RNA". It matches the Rfam family "Bacterial small subunit ribosomal RNA", at positions 509 to 808 of the family's 1533-position model. The record is from RNAcentral.
CAGUCGCCGCGGUAAUACGUAGGGUGCAAGCGUUAAUCGGAAUUACUGGGCGUAAAAGCGUGCGCAGGCGGUCCGCUAAGACAGAUGUGAAAUCCCCGGGCUUAACCUGGGAACUGCAUUUGUGACUGGCGGGCUAGAGUAUGGCAGAGGAGGGUAGAAUUCCACGUGUAGCAGUGAAAUGCGUAGAGAUGUGGAGGAAUACCGAUGGCGAAGGCAGCCCCCUGGGCCAAUACUGACGCUCAUGCACGAAAGCGUGGGGAGCAAACAGGAUUAGAUACCCCAGUAGUCCCUGUCUCUUAUA